This is a long non-coding RNA of Monodelphis domestica (gray short-tailed opossum), 730 nucleotides long. RefSeq lists it as uncharacterized. The record is from RefSeq and is a predicted model, not a curated record. Lineage: Eukaryota; Metazoa; Chordata; Mammalia; Didelphimorphia; Didelphidae.
UCUUUCUGGAAAAGGAUGCCUUCUGAGCAGACUGCUGUGUAGAAAAUUCAAGAAGCCUCAGAAUGGACACCAUCUAUAUCAUCAGAUUCCUUUUGUUCCUGGAUUCAACUCAAAUGCACUGGCAUUUGGAAGUCAAAGAUUUGAAAGAGCUACAGGAUGCCCUAACGCAGUGUUGGUGAAGACGUGGCACACAGGCAGAGCCAGCACUUGGGGAGCUUCUCCAUUCCCCCUCUUCCCAGCGCCUGAGGACAUUUUUUGCAUGCCCCACCCCUCUAUCCAGAAGCCCAAAGCAAGCAGUUCCUCUCUCUCUCCACUCUCUCCGGUAAUGUGGGGGCUCACAGACACCUUGAAUUUGCCCUCUGAGCACUCGAACUUGGAAAAGGUUCACCAGUGCUGCCCUAAAGCUUCAGCUAAGCAGGCCUGCCCUCCCUGGGAAUGGCAGUUGGAUGGCAGUUGUUGGGGAUGUCAAGGCCCUUUUCCAUAGGAGCUGCUUCCCUGGAUGGUUCAGAAACAAAACUGAAGGUCAGAGGAGUCCUGCCACUCUCAGGGCUCUUCUAUCCAUCCACCUGCUGGUGGCAGUUGGUCAGCAGUUUUUAGUAUUGGUGAGGAGGAAUACAGGGUCUCUCUUCACAACAAUUUCUCUGGUCAAGGGGGAGGUACUGGAAAGCCUGGGCUGUGUAAUCAGAUCUGGUGGUUUGGGGAAUACUGCUAUUAAAUGCUACUAUGAAUA